Molecule: ribosomal RNA, 459 nt
Filed under: uncultured bacterium
Lineage: Bacteria
Description: partial 16S ribosomal RNA
Rfam family: Bacterial small subunit ribosomal RNA
Source: RNAcentral
CCUACGGGUGGCAGCAGUGAGGAAUAUUGGUCAAUGGGCGCGAGCCUGAACCAGCCAAGUCGCGUGAGGGAAGACGGUCCUAUGGAUUGUAAACCUCUUUUGUCGGGGAGCAAAAGACGCCACGCGUGGCGUUCCGAGAGUCCCCGAAGAAAAAGCAUCGGCUAACUCCGUGCCAGCAGCCCCGGUACUACGGGGGAGGCGAGCGUUAUCCGGAUUUAUUGGGUUUAAGGGGUGCGCAGGGGGAAGAUCAAGUCAGCGGUAAAAUUGAGAGGCUCAACCUCUUCGAGCCGUUGAAACUGGUUUUCUUGAGUGCGUGAGAAGUAUGAGGAAUGUGUGGUGUAGCGGUGAAAUGCAUAGAUAUCACGCAGAACACCGAUUGCGAAGGCAGCAUACCGGCGCUCAACUGACGCUCAUGCACGAAAGUGUGGGUAUCGAACAGGAUUAGAUACCCGGGUAGUC